Molecule: ribosomal RNA, 261 nt
Filed under: uncultured prokaryote
Description: partial 16S ribosomal RNA
Rfam family: Bacterial small subunit ribosomal RNA
Source: RNAcentral
UACGGAGGAUGCGAGCGUUAUCCGGAUUUAUUGGGUUUAAAGGGUGCGUAGGCGGCUUUUUAAGUCAGCGGUGAAAUUUUGCAGAUUAACUGUAACAGUGCCGUUGAUACUGGGGAGCUAGGAUUUGGUUGCUGUGGGUGGAAUGUGUGGUGUAGCGGUGAAAUGCUUAGAUAUCACACAGAACACCGAUUGCGAAGGCAGCACACUAAGUCAUUAUUGACGCUGAGGCACGAAAGUGUGGGGAUCAAACAGGAUUAGAUA